GCUGCUUCCUGGGUGACCUGCUUCUACCUCCGUCUGUGUGGAGCACUCCAUGUCCAUCUGAUCUCAUCGUGCAAACGACUGCUUCCCCACGUAAAGAUGUAUUCAAAGACUGGAGAGAGAGAAGGAUGGUGAAUUACUCCCCAGAUAACCAGCAUGUAGAACAACCUAAGGAGGAGAUGAACUUGGAAUAAACUUCAAUGUGGACAUGUGGAACCAGAACAUUUGGAGGAAGUUUGGAUUCAUCCACAUUCUCAGCCUGAACAUAGAUGAGAUUUGACAAAGAUCAGAUCUGCUGAAGGUCAUCAAAUACCUGAACCUGGAUGGUGUAUUAGACUGGAGGCAGCUUUGACCAGACCCCAGACCUACAUCAACCAGUAACCCUGACGAGGAGUGUUGAGCUGAGGUCUGAUGUCAUCUUCCUGGUUCAUGCGUCUGGACUGAAACCAUUUUUCUGAUGGACUGGAAGGUGGAGGUGCUGCUGGGAUGGUGUGACAUGGAUUUUUACUAUCCAAUCAGAACUGGGAUUCUGGAAAUAUUCUUUUUCUAAAACAUUUUCUACCACAGUGGUUGUACAUAGUGUAGUGUGGGUGUGUUGUGCUGACACCUACCUGAUGUUCACCUGUGGUGGAAGUAAUUAGUCUCAGUGUUAGAGGGGAUAGAGGGGGGGGUCGAGGAGGACUGGAGGUUGUGGCAGUUGAAGUAGAGGCACUGUGGUGGGUGGGUGCUGCUCGCAGCUUAUAGUGCUGCUGGCAGU
Melanotaenia boesemani (Boeseman's rainbowfish) is the source of this 754-nucleotide long non-coding RNA. RefSeq lists it as uncharacterized. The record is from RefSeq and is a predicted model, not a curated record. NCBI's taxonomy places the organism in Eukaryota, Metazoa, Chordata, Actinopteri, Atheriniformes, Melanotaeniidae. The transcript is spliced from 6 exons.